RNAcentral lists this long non-coding RNA (417 nucleotides) under Carica papaya (papaya). RNAcentral's name for it is "long non-coding RNA (CPAP_LNC010587)". Lineage: Eukaryota; Viridiplantae; Streptophyta; Magnoliopsida; Brassicales; Caricaceae. The record is from RNAcentral.
UUGAACUAUUUACUGCACCUACGGGUGGUCCUUGAAUUCCGUGAAUUUUUCUCCGGGAACUGAAACGUGCUAUUAAUACCUACAAAUGUUCUAAAUAAACCCAAAAUCAGUCACAGGGCCCAUUUGCCCAAUUUUAAAAAUUUGGCACAAUGGCUCUGUCGUGCUCCGGCGACGGUACUGUCGCCCGUGGCGGCGGUCCCCAUCAGGUCGGUCGUUUUUAGCCGAUUUUACAUCGAUCCCUACGAGCAAACACAUUAAAGGGUCUCGGUUGGCCGAAAAAAUAUAAAAAACUGAAACUCACCGGUGGCGGGGCUCUCUGGUGCAGCGGCUCCUCCGACUCGCGUUGUGGUUGUGUGUUUUGCUUCAGUAAACCUGUAAAGAAGAAAACGGUGAUCACAACGGUAGAAAAAUUACGCG